RNAcentral lists this long non-coding RNA (703 nucleotides) under Hordeum vulgare. RNAcentral describes it as "long non-coding RNA (HVUL_LNC018844)". Lineage: Eukaryota; Viridiplantae; Streptophyta; Magnoliopsida; Poales; Poaceae. The record is from RNAcentral.
GAGAGCGGCAACGCCGACGAUCUUGAUGGGCAUGCCGGUGACCACCAUGUCCUUUAUGGUGAUGUAGCCGGUGCUGAACCACACCACAACCUGGGUGGAGUGAGAGAACAAAGAUCAACUACCGCCUCAACCCAUAAAUAAAAGAAAAACCAAAUAGAAUUAAAAAGUUAAGUAUGGGUGCUACUGGAGUUGACUACUAUAUAGUGCCAAAACAAACAACUAAUGAGACAACACUCCACACCACCAACUUACCAGUUAGGACCAAGUGGCACUACAAGCUCCAUACAUCCAUCAAUCGAUAUUCUCGCCCUCCACAAGAUCAAACUUCGCGAUAGCUGAGGGUCCAUGCAACUUCCUAGGCACACACACACACACACACACACACACACACACACGCACAAAUAGAGAGAGAGAGCAUGAUUAACUGGUGUCAUCAACCCACAUAACAAAAUAGAGAAUUUAAAAAUUAAGUAUAAGUGCCACUGACGCAGACUUCUACAAGUUUGGAUAGGAGCUAUCUAGCACAUGCAAUAUAUAGCAAGAACAAGCAGACCUUACAAGUUAAUAGUGUUGUCAAACACAUCGUCCAUGCCAUAAAGAUCAAGUAAUCGUUAUAGCUCAGAUAUUGAUAUUGAUAUCUACUACUGUUUAGGUACCAUAGUUUGUUUUCUCUUAUUAGGACUUCUACUCAUGUAUAAAANNN